Molecule: long non-coding RNA, 579 nt
Filed under: Eucalyptus grandis
Lineage: Eukaryota; Viridiplantae; Streptophyta; Magnoliopsida; Myrtales; Myrtaceae
Description: long non-coding RNA (EGRA_LNC007180)
Source: RNAcentral
UGGAACAAAUUUCUAUUUCAUAAAUAGAUUUGGAGUAGAAAUCAGAAAUUAAAAUUUUUAACUUUUCUAUUUCUGGAACAGAAAUGAGAAAUCAAAAAAAAAAUUCAUCGUUCACUCUCGUCAUCGCCCAUCACCAACUCGCCGCUCGUGGGAUGCCAAACGCCCGCUGACAGUCGCUGCCUGCCUGCCACCGACCUUGGCCAUCAGCCACUCACCACCGACCGCCGACCACCGAACGCAGCCCGUCAAUCACUAAACUCCAGCCACUCGUCACCAAUCACCAACCGUCAGAUGUUGGACGCCCGUCGGUCGUUGGUCGCUCAUUGUCAACCACCGAACCUUGGAGGCCCACCAUCAACCACCGAACGUCCCCCAUCGAUCGCUCGUCAGUCACCACCAAUUGUCAGAUGUUGACCAUCGGACUUCAGCCAUUGGCCACCCGCCGCCGACUGCCAGUCGCCGACCAUCAGACUCCGGCUAUUGGCCACUCGCCGCCAGCCACUAGCUGCCGGACUCCGACUUGGCCACCCACUGCUAGCCAUCAGUCGCCGGCCUCCAAACGUUGGACAUCGAACUCCG